Molecule: non-coding RNA, 74 nt
Organism: Callorhinchus milii (elephant shark)
Lineage: Eukaryota; Metazoa; Chordata; Chondrichthyes; Chimaeriformes; Callorhinchidae
Source: the annotation of a RefSeq genome assembly
AGUCUUGUAGCUCAGUGGUAAGAGCGCUUACCUGACAAGCAAGAGGACCAGGGAUCGAUUCCCAGGCAGGACGA